CAAACGGCCCUUUCUCCAAGGGCCACACACCCAUUUCAAAAAGAGCUGU
Non-coding RNA from Pteropus alecto (black flying fox), 49 nucleotides. The record is from Rfam. NCBI's taxonomy places the organism in Eukaryota, Metazoa, Chordata, Mammalia, Chiroptera, Pteropodidae.